UACGGGGGGGGCAAGCGUUGUUCGGAAUUACUGGGCGUAAAGGGCUCGUAGGUGGCCAACUAAGUCAGACGUGAAAUCCCUCAGCUUAACUGGGGAACUGCGUCUGAUACUGGAUGGCUUGAGAUUGGGAGAGGGAUGCGGAAUUCCAGGUGUAGCGGUGAAAUGCGUAGAUAUCUGGAGGAACACCGGUGGCGAAGGCGGCAUCCUGGACCAACACUGACACUGAGUGAGCGAAAGCCAGGGGAGCAAACGGG
This 254-nucleotide ribosomal RNA is filed under the name uncultured bacterium. Its description in RNAcentral is "partial 16S ribosomal RNA". It matches the Rfam family "Bacterial small subunit ribosomal RNA", at positions 524 to 776 of the family's 1533-position model. The record is from RNAcentral.